GGGAUAGGCAGUGACAGACACCAGGCACACAAUGGCACUGGAGGUCAUGCCCAACUCUACAGUGUUUACUCUGUCUGGGAUCAACGCCAGCUGGGAGAGCAGAUACGUUUUCUUCUGCAUAACGUUUCUUUACUACCUUGUCAUCAUCGCUGUAAACCUGAUAAUAAUUAUCACAGUCGCCCUGAGGAAGCCGCUCCACGAGCCCAUGUACGUGUUCCUGUGUAACCUCUGUCUCAACGGACUGUAUGGGACGUUAGGGUUCUACCCCAAGUUCCUGUAUGAUCUGCUCUCUGACGUCCAAGAAAUCUCGCGGUCAGGAUGCUUCGUCCAGGUGUUUGUGAUUUACUCUGCUGUCCUGUGUGACUUUUCCACGUUAACAGUGAUGUCUUAUGACAGGUCUGUGGCCAUAUGCAGGCCGUUGGAGUAUCACACAGUCAUGACGCGGGGGAAGGUUUUGAAGUUUAUUGUGUUCUCAUGGAUGACCCCCAUCAUUUGCAUGUCUGUUUUGGUUUUUGUGAGCUCUGGACUAACUCUCUGCGGAUCACAUGUUGAGAAACUUUACUGCGAAAGCUGGGCUAUUGUUAAAAUGUCUUGCUUCUCAUCUACACUGUAUAAUGUUCUUUCCUAUAUUGUAAUACUCACAUAUGCGGGAAAUUCACUUUUGAUUAUGUUUUCCUAUGUAAAACUGAUCAAAACCAGCUUGAAAUCUUCAGAAAAUCGGAAAAAAAUAAUGCAGACGUGUACUCCACAUUUACUGUCGUUAAUUAACGUGACAGUGGCCUUGCUGUUCGAUGUGAUGUACAGUCGAUAUGGAUCCAGAGAUAUUGCACAGGGCUUACGCCACUUCCUGGCAUUAGAGUUCCUAAUUGUGCCUCCUCUUCUCAAUCCCUUGAUUUAUGGCCUAAAACUGAAUAAGGUCCGAAAUGAGGUCUUGAGGUAUGUGAGAAGUAACACCGUAAAGUUUUAAUUGUUCACAAGAAGCCAUCGAGCUGGUAUCAGACUUUUUAAGCCAAUCAUCUCCCUCAGCCAUUCUGACCUCAUUGUGUACUUCCUGUUAUUCUCUCUUCAUUUACUGACUGAUGAAAUUGCAGCUACUGCAUCAGGAUCGGUUUCAGGCUCUUAGGAGUCUUACUCUUGGUUCUCAAACUGAGAGCAUUGUUGUUCAAAAGAAAAUAAUUAGCAGGUCAUUCUGAUCACAUCAAUAAUCUUGCGAGGAUUCUGGUCUCGUAUUUUUAUAUUGAUGUUAUUGAUCAAUAUGAUUAAAUCAAUGAAAACCUUCCACUUCGGAGAGGCAGGUGUUUCCCUGAUGACCUUCUGCUUAACUCCAUCUGGUCUAAAGCUUGUAGGCUGUUGUUUUCCAUCUCAUUAUUACUGAAAUGAAAGUGCUUCUUCAUUACCUGUUAUCCAGUCUCCCCCAAUGAAAACGUCUUUAAUAUACACAUCCUUCAGCGCAUGUGCACACAGAUUCCCUCUGUAUAACUCUGUACCUCUCAGGUGUCUGUUAGCUGCCCUUUCAUUUGAGAGAUAUUGUGCCUGUUACUCUUCCUUCCGUGUUUCAGGGGCAGUAUCUCUGCCUCGCUUGUGGAGUACAAAGGCUGCAUCACAUGACCAAACUC
Molecule: RNA transcript, 1616 nt
Organism: Brienomyrus brachyistius
Lineage: Eukaryota; Metazoa; Chordata; Actinopteri; Osteoglossiformes; Mormyridae
Gene name: olfactory receptor 1D5-like
Exons: 3
Source: RefSeq, a predicted model, not a curated record